Danio rerio (zebrafish) is the source of this 47-nucleotide non-coding RNA. The record is from Rfam. Lineage: Eukaryota; Metazoa; Chordata; Actinopteri; Cypriniformes; Danionidae.
CCAAAGGCUCUUUUAAGAGCCACAUCAAUGUGUCUAGAAAAGAUGAU